AGUGGGCCCUUGUGGAGAAGACUGCAUUCGAGCAGAAACUUGAAGGGGGUGAGGGGUGAGCCUUGAGAUAUCUGGGGCAGAGCAGUCCAGGCAGAGGGUACAGCCGGUGUCAAGGACAGGAGCGUGCCUGGUGUGCCAGUUUUGGGCAAGAGGCCAGUGUGCAGAGGCAAGGAGAUCAUGCACGCCCUGAAGAUGACCUGGCACGUGCACUGCUUUACCUGUGCUGCCUGCAAGAUGCCCAUCCGGAACAGGGCCUUCUACAUGGAGGAGGGCGUGCCCUAUUGCGAGCGAGACUAUGAGAAGAUGUUUGGCACAAAAUGCCAUGGCUGUGACUUCAAGAUCGACGCUGGGGACCGCUUCCUGGAGGCCCUGGGCUUCAGCUGGCAUGACACCUGCUUCG
This 400-nucleotide small RNA is filed under the name Pongo abelii (Sumatran orangutan). Its description in RNAcentral is "processed transcript". Lineage: Eukaryota; Metazoa; Chordata; Mammalia; Primates; Hominidae. The record is from RNAcentral.